GACGAACGCUGGCGGCGUGCUUAACACAUGCAAGUCGAACGGAAAGGCCCUGCUUUUGUGGGGUGCUCGAGUGGCGAACGGGUGAGUAACACGUGAGUAACCUGCCCUUGACUUUGGGAUAACUUCAGGAAACUGGGGCUAAUACCGGAUAGGAGCUCCUGCUGCAUGGUGGGGGUUGGAAAGUUUCGGCGGUUGGGGAUGGACUCGCGGCUUAUCAGCUGGUUGGUGGGGUAGUGGCUUACCAAGGAUUUGACGGGUAGCCGGCCUGAGAGGGUGACCGGCCACAUUGGUACUGAGAUACGGCCCAGACUCCUACGGGAGGCAGCAGUGAGGAAUAUUGCACAAUGGGCGGAAGCCUGAUGCAGCAACGCCGCGUGCGGGAUGACGGCCUUCGGGUUGUAAACCGCUUUCGCCUGUGACGAAGCGUGAGUGACGGUAAUGGGUAAAGAAGCACCGGCUAACUACGUG
RNAcentral lists this ribosomal RNA (468 nucleotides) under uncultured bacterium. RNAcentral describes it as "partial 16S ribosomal RNA". It matches the Rfam family "Bacterial small subunit ribosomal RNA", at positions 28 to 507 of the family's 1533-position model. The record is from RNAcentral.